UUGUGCUUGGUAUUUCAACUUUUUAGCUUUUAGAUGCGAAGAUUUAAUUUUUAAGAUCUUGAGGGACUUUAUAUUUUAAAUUUUCAAAGAUGAAAUAUAGAAGAGUGGGAUCUUAUUCAUAUCUUCAAUAAGUUGACUAUAUUCAUAUAUGGGAUCUUCAUUUGACAUUUUUGUCAUCUCAUAAUUUUAUUGUAAUUUUGUAGGUUAGGUCCUGAUUUUUAUGGUUAUCUAAUGGAAGAUGCAAGAAUACGGGAUACAUAUGAUGUUCUUCUAGGAUAUUCCCAACGUCAUCAUGGAAAGAAUAUAAAGUGCCGCUCUCUUACCAAUUCAAUGCAACUAACAGUAGGGGUUUAGAAAAAUUAAGGUGAUGAACUACAAAAGUAGAACAAGAAAAGAAGAAAUGGGAGGAUAACUUUGCAGUUCUGAGGAGAAGUUUAACUUGAAAUACAAGAGAAAUUGUAAUGAAAUUCAUUACAAAAUAACCAAUAAAACUGCAUAAUUUUAAAUAACACUUGCAUUGAUAUAUGGAGACUCAUUGACUAGCCUAUGCGAGAACUUUGGUGACUUUUGGACUACAACAAUUAAUAUUUAUUCUGGUCAAGGAUUUGAAUAUCAUUGCUAGGAUAUGGUACCACUGAUACUACCAUAUUGUUCUGACAGCAUCCAAAUGCUGUUACAGGGUGCGGGGCACUAAAAUUGGCCUGGACUGAUGUGUAGCAGACAUCUUUUCCAAGCUGAUAUGGGC
RNAcentral lists this long non-coding RNA (745 nucleotides) under Elaeis guineensis (African oil palm). RNAcentral's name for it is "long non-coding RNA (EGUI_LNC080993)". Lineage: Eukaryota; Viridiplantae; Streptophyta; Magnoliopsida; Arecales; Arecaceae. The record is from RNAcentral.